GCGCUUAUGGAAGGAGAGCUCUAUUGCUAGACAUGAGAGCUUUGGGCCAAUGGCUCUACAGGAAAUGGAGUCAUGAGAAAUUCAUGAGAGAAUCUGGGGUUUGGAGAGUUAUGAUGAUGUCCCAGAAGGCGAUGAUGUGACUGUAUUUAAAUAUAGAAUCUUGUACAUGAAUAAAUGUAGAUUGUUGUACAUAAAAAAUAAAACAUCCCCUGAAAAUAAGCCCUACUGCAUCUUUUGGAGCAAAAAUUAAUAUAAUACCCCAUCUUAUUUUGGAGGAAAUAUGGUAAGUAGGUCCAUUAUGUAAUAACAAAAGGGUCAAUUCUCCAAGAGGAUGUCAUAAUUCUUAACGUGUAUGUAACUUAACAACAGAAUGUCAAAACCAUCAAGCAAAAACUGACAGAACUUCAAGAAGAAAUAGAUUAAUCCACUAUUAUACUUGGAGACUUCAAUAUCCUUCCAUCAGAAAUGGACAGAACUCACAGGCAGAAAAUCAGUAAAGACACAGUUGAACUCAACAACACUCAUUCUUACAUAUUAGGCACUGUGCAAAGCAUGAAGAACAGUGGACAGAGCCAGACGUCUUCCCUUCUCCUGUGCCAUCCAUCUAGCGAAGGAGACACUCAUUAAUCCAAGAGUCACCUAGAUACCUGAAGACUGAUCAAGCAAACUCAAAGUUAUCAUCCUCAUGUGAAGGCUGCACGGACCAUAGGCAAUGGACAGUGCUUCUACCCAAGACCACGUUUAAGUGCACUGAAAUGCUGAACGCCUAAGGGUGGGCUAUGAUUUUUUUUUUUUUAAAGUGAGUACAAUCUGAGAAAUGUAGAUUGAGAAGCAAAAGAUCUUAAAAUUUGAUCUUCAGAUUC
Long non-coding RNA from Heterocephalus glaber (naked mole-rat), 863 nucleotides. The record is from Ensembl. NCBI's taxonomy places the organism in Eukaryota, Metazoa, Chordata, Mammalia, Rodentia, Bathyergidae.